AGGACAAACGCUGGCGGCGUACCUAAGACAUGCAAGUUGAACGGACUGCAGGUUUUCGGAUUUGCAGUGAGUGGCGAACGGGUGAGUAACGCGUAGGAACCCGCCUCGACGUGGGGGAUAACACCUGGAAACAGGUGCUAAUACCGCAUGUGGUCGGAAGAAGAAAGGCUCUAGCAAUAGAGUCGCGUUGAGAGGGGCCUGCGUCCGAUUAGCUAGUUGGUGGGGUAAAGGCUCACCAAGGCGACGAUCGGUAGCUGGU
This 259-nucleotide ribosomal RNA is filed under the name uncultured bacterium. Its description in RNAcentral is "partial small subunit ribosomal RNA". It matches the Rfam family "Bacterial small subunit ribosomal RNA", at positions 26 to 291 of the family's 1533-position model. The record is from RNAcentral.